Molecule: small nuclear RNA, 92 nt
Organism: Ursus americanus (American black bear)
Lineage: Eukaryota; Metazoa; Chordata; Mammalia; Carnivora; Ursidae
Source: Ensembl
GUACUUAUUUCAGCAGCACAUAUACUAAAAAUUGGAACGCAGAGAAAAUUAGCAUGGCCCACAGGCAAAUUCAUGAAUUAUUCCAUAUCUUA